RNAcentral lists this ribosomal RNA (161 nucleotides) under uncultured bacterium. RNAcentral's name for it is "partial 16S ribosomal RNA". It matches the Rfam family "Bacterial small subunit ribosomal RNA", at positions 355 to 507 of the family's 1533-position model. The record is from RNAcentral.
UGGGGAAUUUUGCGCAAUGGGCGAAAGCCUGACGCAGCAACGCCGCGUGGAGGAUGAAGGCCUUCGGGUCGUAAACUCCUGUCGGGCGGAACGAAACGCCUGAGGGUGAACAAUCCUCGGGCUUGACGGUACCGCCAGAGGAAGCACCGGCCAACUCUGUG